GGACAAUCCAAUAGUGCGGGUAAGCAGACUGCCUAGAAAAUCCGCUAAACAUAACUUCAGAGGUACCCGUACCGCAAACGGACACACGUAGUCGGGUUGAAUAUACUAAGGCGCUUGAGUGAAUCACGGUUAAGGAACUAGGCAAACUGACCCUGUAACUUCGGGAUAAAGGGUCCCGGCGCAAGCCGGGCGCAGAGAAUAGGUCCAGGCAACUGUUUAACAAAAACACAGGGCUGUGCAAAAUUGAAAGAUCAAGUAUACAGCCUGACACCUGCCCGGUGCUGGAAGGUUAAGAGG
Molecule: ribosomal RNA, 297 nt
Filed under: Florenciella parvula
Lineage: Eukaryota; Dictyochophyceae; Florenciellales
Description: partial Bacterial large subunit ribosomal RNA
Rfam family: Bacterial large subunit ribosomal RNA
Source: RNAcentral